CUUUAAAAAUCUGGAUCAAGCUGAAAAUUGAAACACAGAACAACGCAAGUUGUUCGUGAGUCUCUCAAUUUCGCAAUCCUGAAGUGAAACAUCUUCGG
Molecule: small RNA, 98 nt
Filed under: Citrobacter rodentium ICC168
Lineage: Bacteria; Pseudomonadati; Pseudomonadota; Gammaproteobacteria; Enterobacterales; Enterobacteriaceae
Description: Salmonella enterica Typhi npcRNA 44
Rfam family: Salmonella enterica Typhi npcRNA 44
Source: Rfam by way of RNAcentral